GAUGAAGAACGUAGCGAAAUGCGAUAAGUAGUGUGAAUUGCAGAAUUCAGUGAAUCAUCGAAUCUUUAAACGCACAUUGCGCCCCUCGGUAUUCCGUGGGGCAUGCCUGUUCGAGCGUCAUUUAACCCCUCAAGCCUAGCUUGGUAUUGGGUGCUUGUCCCGCCUCUCGCGCGGCGACUCACCUCAAAGUCAUUGGCAGCCCGCAUCUCGCCGGCCGUGAGCGCAGCACAGACGCGCUCUUGGCAACGACGGAUCGGCUCUCCAAAAGCUUAUUUCAACCACUGACCUCGGAUCAGGUAGGGAUACCCGCUGAACUUAAGCAUAUCAAUAAGCGGAGGA
This 339-nucleotide unclassified non-coding RNA is filed under the name soil metagenome. RNAcentral describes it as "partial contains 5.8S ribosomal RNA, internal transcribed spacer 2, and large subunit ribosomal RNA". The stretch from base 1 to 120 matches the Rfam family "5.8S ribosomal RNA", at positions 35 to 154 of the family's 154-position model. The record is from RNAcentral.